This 253-nucleotide ribosomal RNA is filed under the name uncultured bacterium. RNAcentral describes it as "partial 16S ribosomal RNA". It matches the Rfam family "Bacterial small subunit ribosomal RNA", at positions 524 to 776 of the family's 1533-position model. The record is from RNAcentral.
UACAGAGGGUGCGAGCGUUAAUCGGAAUUACUGGGCGUAAAGGGCGCGUAGGCGGCCAACUAAGUCGGACGUGAAAUCCCCGGGCUCAACCCGGGAACUGCGUCCGAUACUGGAUGGCUUGAAUCCGGGAGAGGGAUGUGGAAUUCCAGGUGUAGCGGUGAAAUGCGUAGAUAUCUGGAGGAAUACCGGUGGCGAAGGCGGCAUCCUGGACCAUUACUGACGCUGAGGCGCGAAAGCUAGGGGAGCAAACGGG